GACGUAGGGCGCGAGCGUUGUCCGGAUUUAUUGGGCGUAAAGAGCUCGUAGGCGGCUUGUCGCGUCGACCGUGAAAACUUGGGGCUCAACCCUAAGCCUGCGGUCGAUACGGGCAGGCUAGAGUUCGGUAGGGGAGACUGGAAUACCUGGUGUAGCGGUGAAAUGCGCAGAUAUCAGGUGGAACACCGAUGGCGAAGGCAGUGAUCUGGGCCAGUACUGACGCUGAGGAGCGAAAGCGUGGGGAGCAAACAGG
This 253-nucleotide ribosomal RNA is filed under the name uncultured bacterium. RNAcentral describes it as "partial 16S ribosomal RNA". It matches the Rfam family "Bacterial small subunit ribosomal RNA", at positions 524 to 776 of the family's 1533-position model. The record is from RNAcentral.